GAAAUGCGAUAAGUAAUGUGAAUUGCAGAAUACUGUGAGUCAUCAAAUCCUUGAACGCAAAUUGCGCCUAUUGGAUCACCAAUAGGCACGCCUGUUUGAGUGUCGUUUUCCUACAUCAAAACCCCACGGGUUUUUGGAUGCUGAGUGUUCAAUUCUCGCACGAGAAUUGAUCGCUUGAAAUGGAGUGGUCCGAGGACUGGACAUCCCACCAGAACUGGAUGCGAUAACCCUUGUUGAGUUUCAACCAAAGGUUGUCGGUCCGUUGUAUGAUUGGGUAUCAGUCUCUCAUCGCAAGGAAACUCUUUUUUUAUCUCUCUAUCGACCUCAAAUCAGGUGAGAUUACCCGCUGAACUUAA
RNAcentral lists this unclassified non-coding RNA (356 nucleotides) under uncultured Acaulospora. RNAcentral's name for it is "sequence contains ITS1". The stretch from base 1 to 105 matches the Rfam family "5.8S ribosomal RNA", at positions 50 to 154 of the family's 154-position model. The record is from RNAcentral. Lineage: Eukaryota; Fungi; Glomeromycota; Glomeromycetes; Diversisporales; Acaulosporaceae.